Xyrichtys novacula (pearly razorfish) is the source of this 7161-nucleotide non-coding RNA. The record is from the annotation of a GenBank genome assembly. Lineage: Eukaryota; Metazoa; Chordata; Actinopteri; Labriformes; Labridae.
GGACUUUGGGAGGAGACAGACUGUAAUCUCACCCUUAAUCCAUUUUAAUCAACAAUAACACACUAGCUCCAGUCCCAGGGCGAGGCCUCCGAGCCGUUUCUGAGCCCCAGAUUUACAUCUCAGUGAGGCAAGGGUGAAAUAUGGCUUUGAUUUAUUCAGGUUUUAUUUGGCACAAAUUGUCUGAGUUACAGAUCACAUGGCUCGGCCCUUUUUCCCCAGGCGUUAAUAGAAAGUGCUUCUGAGCUGUGCUUAAUUGCAAAAGAAAGUUGAUGUUACAGGAGCAAGUCUGCAGGUCUCUACAGUUUAUGUUUUUUCAACUUUUUCUAAAAUAACAGAAGAAAUAAAUUACUCUGGAGAACUUUAACGGGCCGAGACUCCAGACUUCAGUGAACAGGUAUUAGGGAAUUCAGGGGAAAAGGCUGAGCUGAGGUUUCAGGGAAACCUGAGGUUGUCGUUGGAAGAUUAAUGCAGAAUUAACUCUGUCAACUUGGUGAAAUUGCCAAUAUUAAUUAGUUAAACAAAUUUAAACCCAAUGAACGUCCAUGAACUUGACACCGAAUAAUUGUUUUGCUUUUAUAUCAUUUUACUGCAAUUCAGUGAAUCGAUUAAUCUUGAUUUAAUGUCAGAUUACAUCAAGAUAAUGAGUUUUUAAAUAUGUGGAACAGUCUGUAGCUGAUGAGGGAAUAGGAGGUGCAUUUACUCCUGUCUUUACUUCAUAUUUCAAUUGGUUGAUAAUUGAUAAUUAUAACCUUUACAUGCAAAAAAGCCAGUUAAUAACAUGCAAGAUUUUAGCAGUCAGUGCACUUCACAUAUCUGCAAAAUACACAGGAGUAGGUGAGUCUUAGACAAUGUGUUGAAACACAAAAACAGGUAAAUUCUGUUACAUUAGAAAUGUAAAUUACUGUGAAAUUUGUGAUUAAAAAACACUUUUUAUUUUGGUUUUGUCAUCCCAAAAGUGAGUUUAGGCCUUUACACCAGUGUAAAGACCAGCCAUCAAUGUUAGUGGGCAUUGACGGCUGGUAUAUGAUGAAGUUUUAGCUUUAAUUGCUCCCCAAAAGGUCUAAACUACUAUAAAUGUAAAUGUAAAAUACAGAAAGAGAUAUGAUCUAGUGUGUAACCACCUAUUAUCUGAGAGAUGGCGCUCGAUGAAGAGAAAGAAACCACUCCAGUGAGGUGAGGUGACGCAGAUCAACUUUUUAGUGUCACUUUUUUGACGCUUUUGUCUUAAUUGGGUUAUGAACAUGUGAUUAAUGAAAAAGUGGUUUAAUAUUAAAUAAAAAAAAAACAAGUAAAGAUCUGGUUCGACUGAAAAGACUCUACAUCAGCGCUGUAAUGGAGUUUUGCCAUCACCACGUCUUUGUACUUACUCAGCGCACACCCAAGGGAAGUAAUAUUGGUGUCCCAGUGAUUACUCAUGCUAUUAUAUUGUUGCAGAACGAGAGGCACAUCUUUUUACAGACAACAGGAACUCUACAUACAGAGACGCUCAAACAUGAACAUACAUAUUGUGGCCAAUACUGAUACCCCCAUUUUACCUAACCUUUACCUCAACGCUCAUCUCUACCACACUUCUAUUUACAGAAGCUAUCACAGGUUGAGCUCCAGCACAGUAUGGGAGGGUGGAGAUAACAGAUGGUACUAGAAAGAGCUACACAGCUGCAGUGAAACUGGAUGUUGCUGAACGUGAUGAAAGUCUUCAGGCAGGAACUCAGUUUAGACCUUCUUAUUAGGAGAUCCCCAAAACAAACAACAUAUUUUAUACUGGUGCGACUUAUAAUCUGUUUGUACAAUAGAUAACCUACAGGAAAAACUCGCAUGUAUGCAAAUCUUGCGUAUUUACUUUUCAUUCGUGCUUUCACUGUGUGCGGUUGUUUCUAAUUUUCUUUGUCUUGUUCAUAUUGGUCUGACGAAGCUUGAGAUAGUGACUCGUCAUUCUAUAAUAAUAAUAAUAACAAUCCAUCAGAUUUCACAUAGCGCUUUAUCAGAGACCCUCAAAGCGCUUUACAUUGGAUACAUCAUUCAUUCGCUCACACAAGCACACCUUGGUGGUAAACUACCUGGGGCAGACUGACCAAAACAUGGCUGCCAGUUUGCGCCUACAGCCUCUCCAACCAUCACUACACAACACUCACAAUCAUACACCAGUGGAGGACCCACACUGGGAGCAAUGUGGGUGAAGUGUCUUGCCCAAGGACACAACGGAAAAAUCAAGAUAGGGGGGGAAUCGAACCCUAUCUGGAUGACGCUCUACCUCCAGAGCUACUGCUGCUCUAAGUAGUGCAAUUAGGAAAAAAAACUGCAGGACUAAAGAAAAACAUGAAAAUAUAUAGAUGUAUGUCAAAGAUACUUAAAUAUAGCUUUCCAUAUGUCCAAAAAACAGAAUAACUCUCGUUUUACGCUCUGUAAAGAGGAGUAAUUUUCCCCUUCAGUUGCGAUCAUGUCGUCGACACAAACGUCUACAGAUCAGCGCCAAAGCGAAGGCUGUGAAAGUUCUCACCUGAAUCCACUAUGAUGACCCUGCUGUAUUUUUUCUAACCAGACACAGCAGGACUCUGUCAACAGUACACAGAGUUAAUUACACUCACUGAAGUUGUAUCCUUCUCCAUUACACCUCUAUUACUGGUCCCGUCGUACUCCGACAAGCACCGUCUUUGUUUGGCGAGUCUCCUCCGAGUGACAGGAUGUGUUAAUAUCACUUGGCUGAUUGGAAGCGAUAAGUCUCGCACACUUCUUGUGCAUUCACUCCCAGUGUCCAGCAGAACGCUCUGCCUGCAUCCAAAUCUCUCGGCUGACUCUGAAUCGGCCUCUUUGUCCCGUCCCCGCAGAUCCAAAUCAUCAAGGCCAAAGCUGUGCCCUUGUGCGCUGUCGCCAUGGGAACAGGGGACGGCGGUUGCCAGCAGGUUGGCUGUUUAUUUUGGCCGGGAAUCAAAGCACGAGUGGAGGUGGGGAUGCAUGGGGUAGAAUGGGAGUUGAUGUGGCGUGACGUGGGAUGGUAGAGGUGAUACAGCGUCUUAAAGUACGUGUGGUGCCUCUAAACAGGAAGCCACAGUACACUGGUCCUCCCUGAGGGAAGGGGUCAGGUUUUCCUGACCACCUCUGCCCUGUCAUCAACUUGGCAUGCUCCUCCUGAUCCUGACAAGAUCUGCAUGUGUCACGAGCGACAACAUGACCCCACCCCGUGCAAACCUCUCCGUACCCGCUCACUCAGUUUGUUUGCUUUACGGAUGACUCCCUGAAAACAGAUAUGACGGGCUCUAAAUGCGACAAUAUCAGCAAGUCCCGAAAAUCAGUGAGGCUACUGUUCACCUCCCGUCGGCGUAACAGAUUGUGUUACAUGAUGAAGUUAUGCUUCUGCUGCAGGUGACAGGUAUACUUUUGUUAUCAUAGAGAAGGCCAAUCACUGUUGGAGCAGCUUAAAGCAUACAAAGGAUCAUAUGCCAUAAAACCGCACUGUUCCUUUAAUUCCCAUCAGGGUAACCGAAUGACUUUUUUCACGUGCCCAUUCAUCAGGUUUAGAAUUUGAAUUUCUAUUUAUCGUCUCCUCUGUUAUAUAAAUAAAGUUAUCUCGGUUUGUAAUUUUUGUGGGCGCAAAAUUCAUACUCCAUGGACAAGGCCAUUUAUCACUGUCAGAGCCAAGACUCACUUAAAGCCCCUUCACCUCAAAAAAAGUGCUGUUUUGACAGGCGUUCUGGAGGCAGACACAGCAGAGGCCGGGACAGGCUCUGUAGGGGGUCUUCUGGCUUACAAGGUUUCUGACGUCCCCGGGCCCUCUCACAUUCAGGUGUAAAACCCCUGGAGCAGCACAGCCAGGCUAACAUUGCUUGGGACUUGCAGCGCCACAGUGUCUGCUGCAGCCCCCGAGUCUCCCCGCCCGCUACCAAAAUAGAAGCAACCUCACACCAAGACAUGGCUUCACAUCUAGCAUAUAAAAAUCUGAAUAUUCAAAGGAUUUGCAACUCAUCCAUCAUAUUUCAGAGCUGAAACCAACAUGAGAUGGCUGCUUUGCAGUCGUAUUACCCAUGAUUUUAGUGUUUUUCUAUUUGGAUGUUGGGUGGCAAAUUAAACACACUGGGCAAACUCAUUACACAAUCCCUGUGGUCAGUGUGUCAUGUACAACAGCACCUUUAAAAAAAAAAGUUUGAACACUGCGUGAAAGGCUGAUGAAACUCUCUAUAUAAUCAGAAAUAGUGCAAACAAAAGGAAUUGAAUGUUAAAAUGAAAACAAAAAAUAGUAAUAAUGCUAAUCUUGUAUCUAAUGCCAAAAAAAGUUGUGACAUGUUAAAAGACACCCUAGAGAAACAUCUACCAAACAUUAAUUCAUGAUUUACAGUAGGUUAGUUACAGGACUUGGUAUGAAGUGUCUCUCCAGAGAGGCUGAGUUUAUGAGUUAAAGACAGGAAGUGGUUCAGGACUCUGCGAGAGACAAAUAGUUCCUCGGUGUAAGUUCAUAAUACCAUCAAAAGAUUGAAGAAAUCUGUGACCCAAAAAUGAUCUUAAUACUACAGAGUUGUUAUUUUCAGGUUCUCAGAUGGCAUUUCAUUAAAAAACAAAAACAGACAUGACUCUGUAGUGGAAAUCACUGCAUGGGCUCAAAAUCAUGUCAAAAAUCUGUAAAUACAGUUUGUAGGAACAUCCUGAAAAGAACAUGGUCCAGAUUUACUGGUUACGUCUUUGGGUCUGAGACCCUUUAAGACUGAGCUAAAGUGAGAAACUGUCCCAUGGUCUGACCUUUUAAAAUUGGCCUUUAUUUUGGAAACCAUGGAUGGUGUGUCCUCUGCUCUAAAGAGACCACCUGGUUUGCCACUUAGGUACGGCUCGAAAGCCAACAUCUCGUUUUCUGCUCAUUUUACAGCAUCAUGGCUCUGUAGAAGAGUUGAGUCUUGUCAUCUUUUAAAAGUAUUGGGAAAAUCAUGCCAUUAGAAUUACGUCAAAGGAGACCCCAAACUGUUGAGCAGCUAAAAUCCUAUAUUACCGUAUUUUUCGGACUAUAAGGCGCACUUACAAUCCUUAAAUUUUCUCCAAAAUUCUAAGUGUGUCUCAUAAUCUAGUGCGCCUUAUGUAUGAUUGCUUGUUGUGUUUACUGACUGAUUUUAUGUGGUACAAAAAAAAUGUGUAUGAAAAGUACGACUUCUGUAAGCAACAAAGCCGCUCCGCUCAUGGAUAUUCUGAGAAUUACGGUAACUGUUGUCUGAGCUUUCGUGAAAGCUGGAAUCACCACUGAACAGCCAAGUACCGGUACCGGCAACAAGACUGACUUAGAUAAUGAUGAGAGGGAUCUGGGCAUGCUUGGUGCCGAAAUCGCACAGCUGUUUAAGACAAUGAAGAUAAUGAAUUUGUGGAAGAGGAAUGAAUUAAUAAGUGAGCAUAUUUUUCUGUACUGGUAUUUGUUGUUACAACUGAGUUAAAUAGUUUGAUUUACUGGAUUGUUUUGCUUAAUGCCCCAUACAAUCUGGUACGCCUCAUGUGUGAACAUAGACAUGUUAAUUCAUAGUGCGCCGUAUAAUCCGAUGCGCUUAUGGCCUGAAAAAAAAUAGUAAAUUAGGUGAAAAUGGGACAAGAACUAACUUCUAAGACUCUGGAAACUUGUCUUCUUGGUCUAAGAGAGAUUAUCAGAGUAGUGUUAAAAAGGGGCUGAUGCAGCACAUUAAAUGUCAUAUGCUGUUUUGUCAACAUCUUUUAAAAAACUGAAGCGCAGGUGGGGCGCUUCCAGGCCUGAUAUCCCAGAUGAUGAACAGACGAUUCCCCGUGCGACUCACCUCUGUUUCCUGUUCAGCAGCAUGGCGGAUAUCAAAACCACACAUGUUCCUUCAGUGCUCCAGAUUCCCUGUCUGAGAAUGACCCCCUGAGGGUCAAACUUUGGCUUCUUCCUCCUCUUCCUGCUAUUUGCGGGUCAAAGGCGACGGCCUGCUGGCGAGCCGUUUCCCACCACAGCUCUACGGGAGUCGCACUAAAAACCUCCGCGAGACAGCAGCGGUGACUUUUGACUGUUAGAAGACACCAAAGCAGAUAAAAUCUUGUGAGUGUGACUUAAUGCAAAGCUUUUGUUUGAACAAGAAGAAGAAGAAGAGAUUGAGGAAGAUCAUUUCUAACCCCAGACAGAGAAACCAGAUGGAGGGGAAUCGGUCUCAUCGGGGCCUCAUGCGUAGUUAUGGCACGCAAAAGAGAGAGAGAAUACAGCGCAUGAUUGUCGUCUUGGCGAUAUAAGAUAUGUAAGAGAACAACACCCUUCCUCAAAUGGCUUGAAUAGAUUGUUUGACAGACGAAAUCAAUCGAAAAUCAAGCCUCCCUUCAGAAUAUUUUGAAUUUGACUGGAUCUCUGAGCAUUUUUCUUCGGCCUCAUUAGUGUCAGGACCGAUUUCCCCUCCGAUAUUGAGCGCUGGUCUCCUUGAGGGACCCCUGUACCAUGGAAGCGGAUCUGUCGAGUGGAGUGAUGAUGAUGGGAGCCUUUUGACACAUGUGUACUUUUACAGUGAGCGGCCAUGCAUAAUGCAUGCGGCUUUAACCAAACAUCCAGCGCCCCGACUCUUCUGGGGUGUUAUCUGGUGUGUGACUCUGGCUCUCUUCCUGAGUGGGAUGGUGUAUCAAAUUCCUGGAGGCCCUGCUUCCUCCAGUGUACACAUGUAAACACUCACUGGCUGCAAAGCAUGAGCACACAAACAGACAUGCAGAAUUACGCACCAUAUGUCGUAUUGCAACACCCACCGGACUUGUGCGUGUUAACUUGUUCUUUUUGUACCCAAAAUUUGAUUGCAAGACAUCAGUUUUGGUAAGCCAAGAAAUCAGCUGGUUUUGAGAUUGCAUUUUCUAUCAAAGCGGACAAAACUUAAGCUCCGCUACAUGGAAAAGAUGUCCACAAAUAGAUUAGGGAUUUAGAGUCUGACAAGGUUCUUUCUUCUGGAUAACACACAGCCAUGUCUGGCCUCUCCCCAGAGCCCCUGAGGAGGCUGCGUGGGCUAACUCCAAGACAUCUGGCGUGACCGAGUGUGUCUGCACAGUCAGGUCAGGUUUGCAGACACAAAAACAGAGAUAAUAGCUUUAACCAUCAGAGCCAGUGUUUAACCGUGCUGUUUUGUUGUCAUUUCCCAUGAAAAGAUUCAGCGCCUAGUGCAUCCACGAGCGGACAGAACACAGAUGUUAUGCAAUAACCGAAGCAGCUGGGGG